This is a long non-coding RNA of Danio aesculapii, 714 nucleotides long. RefSeq lists it as uncharacterized. NCBI's taxonomy places the organism in Eukaryota, Metazoa, Chordata, Actinopteri, Cypriniformes, Danionidae. The record is from RefSeq and is a predicted model, not a curated record. The transcript has 2 exons.
AAAGAUUGUUUAAUUAUACUGUUUGAUAACUGUUAAUUCAUUCUUUACCUGUUACGCUAUUAUGUGGGCGUGGUUAAGAGGUCCGCUCGCGAGUUCAAUGAAUAGCGUGAGAGUAUUGGACACGGAAAUGAAAGACGAACAGAGGAAAAGGCAGGUGCGCAUUGUGAUGCUCAGUCACCAGUUUGGAGCAUUAUAGCCAAAAAACUGUUAGGAUCACAACUACAGCAUUCCCAGAGCAAGCAGUUUGGCUGAAUAUUAUCAGAUGAGAUGUAGAUGUGGUGUGAUUUGCUUCGGAGUUCGACAGAACUUUAUGAUGUGCGUCAUUGCAGAACAACCACACAUACAUGCACAAUCACACACAACAACAUAAACAUAUACAGAAACAUUUAACUUCAUCUGAUCACCUGUUUUAACACACUCACUCCCCAUUAUACAUUAUACAUUUAUGGCUUAUGAAGAGAAGACGCGGGAAAAUGUGGCAUACUGGCUGAUGACAUCAUUUCUACGGAUCGACUGCUGAAGUGAUCACUGGACCUCCUGUGUAUAAGGUGGACUUAUUCUCUGAACCUAUUGGGACUUAUUUCAUUGGAAUUUAUUUCACCAUUAUUCUCUGAACCUAUUGGGACUUAUUUCAUUGGAAUUAUUUCACCACUAUAUUACAACUUCUCAGUAUUGUAAUUAUUGUCAUUCUUAUAUGAUAAUUGUUGUUAUUUA